GACGAACGCUGGCGGCGCGCCUAACACAUGCAAGUCGAACGGAGCUUAGAGAGCUUGCUUUUUAAGCUUAGUGGCGAACGGGUGAGUAACGCGUGAGUAACCUGCCCUAGAGUGGGGGACAACAGUUGGAAACGACUGCUAAUACCGCAUAAGCCCACGGUACCGCAUGAUACUGAGGGAAAAGGAUUUAUUCGCUUUAGGAUGGACUCGCGUCCAAUUAGCUAGUUGGUGAGGUAACGGCCCACCAAGGCGACGAUUGGUAGCCGGACUGAGAGGUUGAACGGCCACAUUGGGACUGAGACACGGCCCAGACUCCUACGGGAGGCAGCAGUGGGGGAUAUUGCACAAUGGGGGAAACCCUGAUGCAGCGACGCCGCGUGGAGGAAGAAGGUUUUCGGAUUGUAAACUCCUGUCGUUAGGGACGAUAAUGACGGU
Molecule: ribosomal RNA, 435 nt
Filed under: uncultured bacterium
Lineage: Bacteria
Description: bacterial SSU rRNA
Rfam family: Bacterial small subunit ribosomal RNA
Source: RNAcentral